CWAWAUGGGUGUUCAWACCAGACCCAGUUUUCUCUGCWGGCCCCCCCUWAARGGGKGRUKRAUUUUUUYKCMAWWSACCCUUAGAGUUUGAUCCUGGCUCAGAACGAACGCUGGCGGCGUGCUUAACACAUGCAAGUCGAACGUGAUCCGGAGCUUGCUCCGGUGAAAGUGGCGCACGGGUGAGUAACGCGUGGAUAAUCUGCCCUGGUAUCUGGGAUAACAUCUCGAAAGGGGUGCUAAUACCGGAUAAGCCUACGGACUCUUCGGAGUCUGCAGGAAAAGGUGGCCUCUAUUUAUAAGCUACCGUAUCAGGAUGAGUCCGCGUACCAUUAGCUAGUUGGUGGGGUAAUGGCCCACCAAGGCUACGAUGGUUAGCUGGUCUGAGAGGAUGAUCAGCCACACUGGAACUGAGACACGGUCCAGACUCCUACGGGAGGCAGCAGUGGGGAAUUUUGCGCAAUGGGGGAAACCCUGACGCAGCAACGCCGCGUGAGUGAUGAAGGCUUUCGGGUCGUAAAGCUCUGUCAGAGGGGAAGAAAUGAGACUGGCUAAUAUCCAGUUUUCUUGACGGUACCCUCAAAGGAAGCACCGGCUAACUCCGUGCCAGCAGCCGCGGUAAUAC
Molecule: ribosomal RNA, 622 nt
Filed under: uncultured Geobacteraceae bacterium
Lineage: Bacteria; Pseudomonadati; Thermodesulfobacteriota; Desulfuromonadia; Geobacterales; Geobacteraceae
Description: bacterial SSU rRNA
Rfam family: Bacterial small subunit ribosomal RNA (bases 76-622)
Source: RNAcentral